RNAcentral lists this ribosomal RNA (433 nucleotides) under uncultured bacterium. RNAcentral's name for it is "partial 16S ribosomal RNA". It matches the Rfam family "Bacterial small subunit ribosomal RNA", at positions 29 to 507 of the family's 1533-position model. The record is from RNAcentral.
AACGAACGCUGGCGGCAUGCCUAACACAUGCAAGUCGAACGAGACCUUCGGGUCUAGUGGCGCACGGGUGCGUAACGCGUGGGAACCUGCCCUUAGGUUCGGAAUAACUCCCCGAAAGGGGUGCUAAUACCGGAUAAUGUCUUCGGACCAAAGAUUUAUCGCCUUUGGAUGGGCCCGCGUUGGAUUAGCUAGUUGGUAGGGUAAAAGCCUACCAAGGAGACGAUCCAUAGCUGGUCUGAGAGGAUGAUAAGCCACACUGGGACUGAGACACGGCCCAGACUCGUACGGGAGGCAGCAGUGGGGAAUAUUGGACGAUGGGCGAAAGCCUGAUCCAGCAAUGCCGCGUGAGUGAUGAAGGCCUUAGGGUUGUAAAGCUCUUUUACCCGGGAUGAUAAUGACAGUACCGGGAGAAUAAGCUCCGGCUAACUACGUG